This is a long non-coding RNA of Ictalurus punctatus (channel catfish), 1428 nucleotides long. The record is from Ensembl. Lineage: Eukaryota; Metazoa; Chordata; Actinopteri; Siluriformes; Ictaluridae.
GUUAAUUUGAGUUCAGGAGGAAGUGGCCUGAGGUGAUGUGAUUAUCUGAUCUCAGAGCAGUGUGUGUGUGUGUGUGUGUGUGUGUGUGUGUGUGUGUGUAUGUGUGUGUGUGUGUGUAAUUCAGUCAGAGCUCACACCUGCCUGCUGAGGACACACACCUAGGACCAGACAGGAAACACGUAGAAAUCUCUUUAAUAAUCCACUUAACAUCUAAAAGGUCACAUGAGAGGCUUUAACUGUCUGUCUGUUUCUCUAUCUGUCUGUCUCUCUAUCUAUGUCUGUCUGUCUCUCUAUCUCUGUCUGUCUGUCUCUCUAUCUCUGUCUGUCUGUCUCUCUAUCUCUGUCUGUCUGUCUCUCUAUCUGUCUGUCUGUCUCUCUAUCUCUAUCUGUCUGUCUCUCUAUCUCUGUCUGUCUGUCUCUCUACCUCUAUCUGUCUGUCUCUCUAUCUCUGUCUGUCUGUCUCUCUAUCUCUGUCUGUCUGUCUCUCUAUCUCUGUCUGUCUGUCUCUCUACCUCUAUCUGUCUGUCUCUCUACCUCUAUCUGUCUGUCUCUCUAUCUAUGUCUGUCUGUUUCUCUAUCUCUGUCUGAUUAAAGCUGACUGUAUCAUCAUAUAUCAAUAUCAGGUUGUCCUGAUGUUGGUUGUUCUGGUGUGAUGGUGAAUAUGAGGUUGUCCUGAUGUUGGUUGUUCUGGUGUGAUGGUGAAUAUGAUGUUGUCCUGAUGUUGGAGGUUCUGGUGUGAUGGUGAAUAUGAUGUUGUCCUGAUGUUGGAGGUUCUGGUGUGAUGGUGAAUAUCAGGUUGUCCUCUCUGUGCUAAACUGCUGGAAAGAAGCACCAAUAAAUCUCUGACUGUCUGAGCUCGGAGCUGUCGUGUUUCAUCACACCGGCGACUCUGUGCAGAUGAUUUACAGAGGUUUGAGGUUGAUUGUAGACAAAUAGCUGUCGUGUCAGUCCCACACACCCCCCCCCCCGCACACAGACAGACGUCUGCCUCCUAAAAGCUAUGCUCAAGGUGCUUUUGUUUCAGCAUGCCAGAAUUAAUGAAGCUAUGUUUCAUUCCAGUGUGUCAGGUGUCAGUGUAAAGUGAGAUCCAGAAGAAUCCAGCUCUAAACCACAACUGUGUGUUCUGCCAUCGAGGAAUAUUAAAGGUGUAUUGUAGUGCAGAGUGCAGGCAUUGUGGGAGGUGUUUACAUGAGUACAUAAUCUGUAAUAAACCCUUUUUAACACUCAUGCUGUCUUCACUACUUAGUAAUAAAUAUUCCAGGCUACAGAUUUAGAUUAAAAACAGACAGUGUGUCUUUCUUCUGUCUGUGUUUCAGUUAGCAAUUUAAACUGUAUUGAUGGAACAGAGCCACAGAGGCCACGCCUCCUUCACUGAGACUGACAGACACAGAGGCCACGCCUCCUUCACUGAGACUGACAGACACAGGG